GCCAUGCUUCCUCUAACUUCUAAAGCUGUGAUCCUUAAAAAAGAAAUGGCAGCAAAAAUCCAUCAUUUGAAUAUGGGGAUGACUAUUGAUGUCUGAGAUCCAGGGAGGCAGCGGCCUUUUGUGCUUCAGCCUCGAUGGAGUCUCUGGGCAAAUGACAAUAGCUAGCUAGCAUUGCUGAAUCACUUCACAUCCACUGGCUACUUGGUAAAGGCAUUUUACGCAUACCAUAUUAAUUCAUUUAGUGCUCUCAGUUCCAUAAAAGGGGUAAUGUUAACUUCAUUUUCUGCACCACAAGACACAGAGAUUAAGAAACUUACAUGGGACCACUCAGGACGAGCUUUCUAAGCCAGGUUGCAUUCCCCCAACCCCCAGAAGACUCCUUGCCUCUCUUUCCACAGGGUUUUACAACAUCAUUUGAGAUAUAUAAAUGAAGAUAUUUCUUCCGGGUAUCAAGCCCAUCUGUGGAUAUUAUUUAAUGAAAUGGGAAGGAAGGAUACAAACCAAAUGGUACCAGGGACAGUCAGGCAAGUUCCAGAUCUCAGCAACGCAACCCAAACAAGAGAGGCAGGAAGAGAUGAGAUACCGGCAACCAACACCUGGACAGAGCUCGCUCCAAGGAAGACCGAAGCCUUGUUUUGUUCGAAGGCUUGCUUUCACAUAGUUUGCUCUCCAACUAGAUUAAAACC
This 686-nucleotide long non-coding RNA is filed under the name Mus spicilegus (steppe mouse). RNAcentral describes it as "lncRNA (ENSMSIG00000023053.1)". The record is from RNAcentral. Lineage: Eukaryota; Metazoa; Chordata; Mammalia; Rodentia; Muridae.